Non-coding RNA from Oryza sativa Japonica Group (Japanese rice), 1941 nucleotides. NCBI's taxonomy places the organism in Eukaryota, Viridiplantae, Streptophyta, Magnoliopsida, Poales, Poaceae. The record is from RefSeq and is a predicted model, not a curated record.
AAUUACGAAUUUCAGCUAUUUUUAGAUUGUAUUUCUAUUUUGACUCUUUUUUUCUUUUUCUCCGAUUCAUGUAGGAAUUUUUAGCCUCUACAGUGAACGUGGUGUCUUUUUUUAAGGUUGUUUUAAUAAUAGAUAGAUAGAUAUGUAGAUAUGACAUUGUUUACAUGUAUCGAAAAUAGUUAAAAUUCGCCGCCCUCCAUCUCGCCGCCGCCACCUCCCUCCGCCCGCCGCCCCUCCUCCCAUCACAUCGGUUUGCGCCGCCGCAUCCGCACCGCCCAGCCCCGCCACCACCGAGGACGCGGAACCCGCACCUCCCUCCCACGCCUCCCCCUCCAGACCCGAAGCAGCGGCAGCUCGCGGCGUCAACCUUCAUGCUUGACGACACCCCCCACCCCUCCGAAGCGGCGGCGGCCGCCGGUAGCUGCCGACUGGUCCGCCUCCGUGGUGGCCGAUGCGCCCCGGUCGUUCUUGCCGUGCUCGCUCCGCGACAGUCUGGUGAUACGCCCGAUUCUGUUCUCUCGAGCCCGUCGUUCCACCUCGACGCUCCCGAUUCCGCGACCCCUGGCUCGGAUGUCCCGUCCUCCGUCGGGCUUGACGAUAUUGUUCCUGAGACCUGAGACCGCGGGCUUCACCGCCCCACGCUUGGCUGGUCUCUCGGCUGUGCCUGGCUUGACGUCUCCUACGACCGCGAGGAAAUUUUCUGAUUGGAACAAGCUAAUCUUCUGCUCAAGAAAACACCAUUGUUGGAGAUGAUGACAAUUGUCCUCCACUGCUCCUGACCAUUCAAACAGGCAUGCACUUUCUUUUGCCGAUGGGUACAUAUUAUUGUGUUAUGCAUUUUAGCUACUUGAAUAAAAUAUCCUGUGAUUUUACAGGCAUGUGCUUUUGAAUUACCCUGUCUUUCCUGUAAUUAAUUUAAGUAGUACGCUAACUGAUUUGCACGAUCACAUGAAUGGCAGACUGUCAGAGUUCAUCGCUUCAAUAUUGUUUGGUGAUGUGAGAGCUAAGAUUAUUGUUUCCUUACUAGCAUAUAAAUUUAUUCCUGUAUAAGAAAUUAAGAAUAGCUGGUAUUUCAAACAUAUGGUCAUUUUGCUUGUCAUUCCCGCUUUUCUAUCUCCCAUUUUCCAUAAAUGCAUGACCCAAUGUUCCAAAGUACAGUUGCUAACAGAGCAUCAUUGCUUGCUUCCAGAACCAAUCUAGCCGACGGUUCUUACCAACCCAGUGCAGACUAACGCUGCCCUCGAUUUCUUUGAAGAUCUUUGAAAUUGAUGUUUUUUCUGGACUAUUGCCAUUGCAGAGGAAUUCAAAUGCAGCACCACUGAUCUGUACUCAUUUCUCUUUACAUAUGUUUUCACCAUUAAGAGGACCUGCUUCAAGAGAGAUGACCUCUGCUUUUGAGUUCUACGGUGCUUCCAAUUAAUAGUGAUUACCAAGCAACAAGCAAGAUAAAACAACUGCAUUUAUCUGUUACUUAUGGAAUUUAUCUGUUUAGAAAGCAAAUAGCAUUAUUGAUCAUCACUGAUCUGAUAUAUCAAUUUGUGGUGUACCAUAAGCUAGCAUGAUUUGCUUCAAAAGUUUAGCAAAACAAGUUAAGCUUGGAAGCCACUCAUUAACAAAAGAAGCUGAUUGUUUCUAUUUAGCAGGUUGACAGGAACAUGCUCCAUUUCAUGGUUUUGCUAAAUGAAGUGCGGUUGUCAUGAGAAAUCAGUGCAGAAUGGCAAGGUAGAUGCAAUUAUUCGAUCAGUGCAGAGAAAAUGGAGGCAAUGCUAGGGCAUAAUUUCUUCUAACUGUUUUUCCAUUCUUUCCCCUUUCGAUUGUACACUCAUGGUUGACACAUAUAUGUACAGUUCAGAUUUAUAAGUUGCAGCUAUGCCUUCAAUGGAUGAAAGUGGGCAUAUAUGUAUUUUUUUAGUUGGUUUUAAAGUGAGUGAUUUAUUUUCU